Long non-coding RNA from Gossypium raimondii (Peruvian cotton), 997 nucleotides. RefSeq lists it as uncharacterized. The transcript has 2 exons. The record is from RefSeq and is a predicted model, not a curated record. Lineage: Eukaryota; Viridiplantae; Streptophyta; Magnoliopsida; Malvales; Malvaceae.
AGCAAUAUUGUUGUAAUUCUAAGCAGAUGCAACAGAGUUUAUAAAAAGUCAAAGCAGAAAAAAUAUAUAUAUUUAUGUAUAUAUACUCAUUGCAGAGGUAUUUAUAUGUUUCCCAUCUUUCUUAUGCAAUUUUUCUCAUUCAUCAGCUACUAUGUUUCUUUACUCUAACCACACAAAUUGCAUAUUCCGUCUUUAAGGUCUGGCCAAUGUCCACAGUUAUCAAAUUUCCCCAUGUAAAGUGAUGCUAUCACUGCUCAUCUUCAUUCCAUAUGUUUCAGUUCCUCUUGGUAUGGCUUAAUACUAGCAUGCAGAAGUUCCUAUUCAUAUUCGACAAAAUAUCCAAAGUGCUCUACAUUAUGAAGGUUGCUGCAUGCACCGUUAGUCCUGUAGCACAAUUUACUUUUGAAAAUGUUACGUCAGUGAUUGGUCCCAUGAACUAUCAGCUAGUAUUAGCAUCAAGCGGUCAAGCUAUGAGCUAAGAUCCACAAAGAUAUUCCUUUCAACAAUUCUAACUCGAGCUCUGCCUCUAGUUGAUCCAUUUCCACAACCUCCAGCUCUGGUUCAGGCUCUUCAGUAAGAACACUACUGGCAUAUUCACCAUCAUCAAAUACUGGGAGGCUGCAGACUUUGGUCUCAUUAUGGUCUCUGUUCCCAGUACCUGACUUCCUGAGCAGUAACUGCGAAUUCUUGCCACUAAACUUCUUUGAGCUUGCGGCAACUUCACUUGCAGAACUGGAAGCAUGUAGAUUGCAAGAUGAUUUUCUUUUGCAUAGUGUAGUUUUUAACUCCUGAACCACUUUUGCAGUCUCAUCCAAGGCUGAGUUCAAUUUAUCGAUCUCAGCCCUCCCAGCUGACAUCAUGUACAUGAUACCAAAGCCAAGUCCCCAGCGAAAUACAGAGCUAUCUGAGGAGUAAAAAAUACCAAGUAAAUUUGAGUAUUAGAAAAAAAAAGUAAGUGUAUCUUGACAGCACAUGGAACUAUAAACAAUCUUUAUUA